This 259-nucleotide long non-coding RNA is filed under the name Gossypium raimondii (Peruvian cotton). Its description in RNAcentral is "long non-coding RNA (GRAI_LNC005779)". Lineage: Eukaryota; Viridiplantae; Streptophyta; Magnoliopsida; Malvales; Malvaceae. The record is from RNAcentral.
UUUGAGAGAAAAGGGGAAGGGUUUUGAAUUUUUUUUUUGAAAAAUGGUGGCUGAAAUUAUUUUUAAAUUUUUUUUUUGCUUAAAUACCAUAAAUAAAACAGUGUUGUUUAGCAACUAGGGGUCAGGUGCCAAAACGAUGUCGUUUUGGCCCCAACCCGCAACCCAACCCAUCCACCCUCAGGAUCCUCGUGUUUUUGCAGUGAAGGGGAUACUUGCGCGCGAGGUCCCUCCUCUUUUGCGCCUUAGUGCAAUCUGGUCC